GCCACUAUGGUGAAAUUGGUAGACACACUAUUCUUAAGAAGCAGUGCUACAACGUCUUGGUUCGAGUCCAAGUGGUGGCA
Non-coding RNA from Lupinus angustifolius (narrow-leaved blue lupine), 80 nucleotides. The record is from Rfam. NCBI's taxonomy places the organism in Eukaryota, Viridiplantae, Streptophyta, Magnoliopsida, Fabales, Fabaceae.